AACCUGUGUGUCUGCCAAAGU
RNAcentral lists this unclassified non-coding RNA (21 nucleotides) under Mus musculus (house mouse). Its description in RNAcentral is "oocyte_clustered_small_RNA10059". The record is from RNAcentral. Lineage: Eukaryota; Metazoa; Chordata; Mammalia; Rodentia; Muridae.